GCAGACGACAGAUGGAGUAAAUUGUUGACAGCCUUACAAACCUGUGGAGUCUCUACCUGUCUACUGUCACCCUUCAAUUUACCAUGGGCUGUAAGACCUAUUAUCAUUCCUUACUCAUCUUGCUGGUAUAUCUCUCAAGAACUAAUGGUCUUGGAGAAGUUAUAUAUGCCGUCAAUGCAGGUGGUGAUGCUCACAUUGAUGUUUAUGGUGUGAGAUAUGAGAAGGAUCCUCUCACGGGUAAAGUAGGCACUGCUUCAGACUUUGGCAAGCAGCUAGUUAUUGGGAGAGUACCACCAGGUGAUCAGGUGCUGUAUCAGACUGAGAGAUAUCACCACUCAACAUUUGGUUAUGAAAUCCCCCUCAAAGGUGAUGGAGACUAUGUUCUUGUUCUUAAAUUCUCGGAAGUCUACUUCAACGCACCAGACCAGAAGGUUUUUGAUGUUGCAAUGAAUGGUGACAUGACAGUGGUUCCAGCGCUAGACAUCUUUGGGAGAGUGGGUCGGGGGGUGGCGCAUGAUGAGUAUGUACCCUUUACGGUCGCUUCUAAUACACUCAUAGUUGGAGGCCAAGAAAGUCCUCUCAGGAGUAAUAGAGUCAAGGUUGACUUUGUAAAGGGUUACAAAGACAAUCCAAAAGUUAAUGCAAUAUUUGUAAUCAAGGGAAGAUUAGAUGAUGUUCCGAAGCUGCCGCCAUUACCCAGAGAAGAAGACCUUGACAGUGAUAUAGAAGAACCCAGGCCAAGUGCAAACCUGCAAAACAAUAACAACCAGAAUAACAAACAGUCACAGACCACGAAGCGUCGUCCCAGUGGACCCCGUACUCCCGACCCCUACGCCUUAGAUGACACUAGCUCCAUGCUCCCAGUUUUUGUUGCCAUUGGGGCAGCUAUACCCAUUCUCUUUUGCCUCUGUAAACUGUGAUGAAUAUAUUUUCUUCAAAUUUUCCAAAGCUAAGUGAAAUAUUGUGUUGAUUUUUGAAAAACUUCUUUUGUAUCCCAAUACCUCUCUGUUAAAGAAUAUUUAUUGGGAAGGUAUUCAUCAGUAUUCAAAUGGUAAUGGUGCAAAAUUAUUUUGCGUUGUCAAAUGAUUGUGUUCCGAGAUGCUUAACGAUCAGAAUGGCCAAAUGGAUGACAGUAUUAGAAAAAUGGUGAGUAUUAAACAUUUUUUAAUCUUAAAAGGUAAGGAUUGAUUUGGUGCUUUGAAUUUUCCUUUUUAGGCAUAAUGGAGAUUAUUAACGAUGACAUUUGCAGUGUUGGGGGAUCCACAGCAACCGGGAGUAGGUAGGGAUACCAUGCCAUUAUUUUGCUGGAAUAGGUAGGGAUACCAUGCCAUUAUUUUGCUAGUCUUUGUGGUGCUCACAGACAUCUACUGGUACCGGGAAACUUGUGGGCCUCCCGUGUUUUAUUUUUUCUUAUCAUAAGUGAUAAAUUAACCAAAGAUUGCUUUGUUCUUAGAACAAAGGCUUUGAAGUCUUUCUUGGGAUCCAAGUUGUGUGGUAUGUACACAUCUUAGCUUUUAUUGUGAGAGGUAAUGGAGAAUAUAAUUAAUGUUUUUAUCACCCUUCCAGGAGUGCAUUUAUUCUUAACACGUUUAGGUAAUUAAUUGUGUUUUCUCCCUAAACACUAAGAAGAAAUGCAACCAUUAAGUUAGAUGUGAUCAUACAUACAACCCUUCACCUUCACUUCUAUAGUGUGGGUACAAAAGGGUACUGUACUGUAUUAGUUCAUUGAAGGUGGCACAAACAUAAGGAUGAUAUUUGCAUGUACAGUAUUUUUGUACAACUUAUUCAUUCCUUCUGUCCAGGUUUCCAGUAGAGAAUGAGAUAAGCUGUAAAGUAUUGCUGAGUUAUAUUGCGUCCAUUUCUUAAGAUAAGUGAUUUGCUGGUUGAUGAGGAAACCUUGGAUUAGAUGUGAAUUUGCUUAAUAAAUAUUUGACUUCGAAGUUUUCCAAAAUAGUCUUAGUUACGUAUUCUGAUUUACAAUUUUGUUACUUCAGCUUAUUUGAUAUUUAUAGAUUAAUUUUCAUGCAUUUAUUUACUUUUUGCUAAUUUGUUUUUCUCUGCACGUUUUAUUUUGUGGAAUAGCGAGUUUAUGGUAAGAGAAGGGUGAUGAGGGCUUUGUUGACACAUUCUUUGGCAUUGUUGCAAACAUACUACUACAUAGAGCAACUUGAAGUAAUUGUUUUCCAGGCUAUACCUGUAUGGCUUGUCCAGAGUGGUCCUUAAACUAAUGAAAUACACACCAGUUGCCUGGGUAGUGGUGUACAACACUUGGCUUUACCAUUUGUACCGUUAACCCUGCGGCACUAUGGCAGGAAUUUAGAUAUCUUUGUAUAUCUCAUCUGCCUUACAAACAGGUUACUGUAAAGUUUAAAGUUACAUUUUCUGUUGUAUAUCUUAGUUUUGGUUGAAGAAUGUGUAUAACCUGGCUAUGUUCUUGUUAGCACACUGGCUAAUUGGCAAAUGUCUGAGUGUCAUACAAUAUUCAGUAAACCCCUUUCAUUUUUGGAAGCUUAUUAUUUUUUAUUUAAUAUUUGUGACGGGAAAUAUUUUCCAUUGUACUAUAUUGUAUAUUUUUAAAAAUGUUGGUGGGUGUUAUUCUUAAGUUUAUAUCAUUCAUGAAUGAAAUAGUGAUUACUGGUACAGUAUUGGGGUGUUGUAUGCUGAGCACUGUGUUGCUGAACAAUAACCUACUGAAUAUCUUGUAAGGGACUGAUCUCGUUGUUCCUUGACAAUCCUUUUACUAGCAAAAAGUAUUUGAAUUAUGACUUGUGAUACAUAGUAUUGUAGAUAUCUUAGUGUUCUUUCAGCAUAGAUCACUGUCAUGUCUUCAGACAUCUUUUAUGAUGUUGGUUAACACAUGAGGUUCAUGUUUUAAGUGCAACACCAAAUGUAGUAAGAUAUCUACUGAGUAUACACAUAUCUGGCCCUCUAUCUCAGUUACCUUCUCCCUUUUUUAUUUUGAAAUAUUUCUUUAUGCAUAAAACUAAAGAAUGCAUUGUUUUUAACUUAAGGCAUGACAGUGCCAGGUAACAAAAGUGCAUCUUGUGUGUAAAUGAUUUGUAAAUUACUGACAAGGGUACUUAAAUACAACCAUGGAAACUGACUAAUGUGUGCCAUACACCAAUACAGUACUUAUGUUGUACUGAAAUGAAAACAAAAAUUUUAGUCAUGGGGGUCUGUUUAUAAACAUUAAGCUCCUGUUUGUACAUAAGGAAAAGAUGGUUUAUUAUAGAGAACAUGUUACUCUGUUUUAUUUUGACCAGGGUGAAUCGAUAAACCCUAUACUGUACUGGGUGGUUACUUCUGGUGGCUUAUCUUAGGUAGAUAAACUAAGCAGAUCUCUUUGUUACACACUUAAAUGGUUCAAAUAAUUCUAUGGUUAUUUAGUUAAUGAAAUUUUAAGCUUAAGAGAUGAACAUGUUCACAGAAUGUAUGUAUAAAGUGAGGAGAUAAGUGUGCACACCUUCAGAUAGUGUCAUGGUUCCAUUUACCUAAUACUGUACUGUAAUGUAAAGUUGAGUAUUUUAAAGACUUUGAGUAUUAUAGUGACAGUAUUAUCUAGUAGAGAGUUUCCAUUAGUUUAUCUUCCUUUUAUCCUCACCUCCCUUAUAAAUUCCUGUACAUUAUGGGUCUGGAGUUUUCAUUCAUAUUUCUCAUCACGUUUAACAUCCUCACACAAUUUUUCACUGGCUAAAGUACACUUGGUGCCUCUUUAACUCUCACUUUCGUCCUGAUGUAUCUAAUGAUAAAGAUGUUUAAUCCCAUUUGCUCUUUUUAUUCAAUAUGCUUUUUCUCCCACCAUGUUGUCUCAUACUAACAGUUUGUGGUGUUUUGAAAAUUGUAUGUAACCCAAGCAUUAGAGAUGGCCAUAAAACAUUGAGGGUUA
Molecule: unclassified non-coding RNA, 3886 nt
Filed under: Homarus americanus (American lobster)
Lineage: Eukaryota; Metazoa; Arthropoda; Malacostraca; Decapoda; Nephropidae
Description: malectin-A-like, transcript variant X1
Source: RNAcentral